UCGAUCACCUCCGCCGCGUCUACACUGCACUUGACAACCACUGAAGCUUAAUCACGAUUAUACAAGAAAAUCGAAUUUGCGAGGUUUGACUUGACUAGCAAUAAAUCUGGCAGAACUUAACUUCCGUUUAAGCUGUUUACCGCCGUGUAAAUUAGGUGUGGCAAGCCAACUUCUGCAAGAUUUACAUAGUGGUGACAGCUUGCGGAAGUAACCUUCUGCAAGUUUUAUUGCUAGUCUAAACCUCGCUAUAAAGAAUAUAAUUAGCCUUCAAAUUAGUUUCAAAAAAUAGAUCUUUGACAAAACUCAGAAGAACUAUUGCUUUUGCAAGCAAAAAAAAAAAGAUUUCCCUUAUUUCAGAAUAGUAAAAUGUUUGCUAUAUUGCUAGGUGUAUAAAAAGCAAACUAAGCAAACCCUGGUCUUCUUAAUAUAAAUAAAUAAAUAAAUCAGUUGUUUAUUCUCCCAGAUUCUUCAAUUCUUGCAUCUAAGAGUAUGAAGAAGUCUUCAGACCCUCUGCCAGACCUGGAGACGUUCCGCGCGUCGCGCAGCAAGACCAAGAGCUCCGUGAAGGCGGUUGUUUCAGACGCGACGGGGGUACUCCCUGCACUGCUGGCUGCCCGCCGACGAGCCCACGCCCGUGCGGAGCAGUAACGGGCUGUCGGUGCUGGGCUGCGCCAUCGUCCCGGAGCUGAAGCCGCGCGCGCGCACCAUGAGCGAGCGCGACCUCACGCGCGCCUACACGCCGCGCCACUUCCUGCGCUCCUAGCGCGCCAGCCGCGCCAGCCGCGCCAGCCGCACCAGCCGCGCGCCCGCUGCCUCCUAGUGUCGCUUGCUGCUAGCCAGGAAGCUAACAGUAGCCACCUCGAAAACUACUUUCAACAACAAAUCAAGAGAAUGUACCCGUUUAUACUUACGAGUAUAUCUAUUAAGAAUCUAUUCUCGAACUUAUUAAUUUCA
Ostrinia furnacalis (Asian corn borer) is the source of this 954-nucleotide RNA transcript. RefSeq lists it as uncharacterized. The transcript has 3 exons. The record is from RefSeq and is a predicted model, not a curated record. NCBI's taxonomy places the organism in Eukaryota, Metazoa, Arthropoda, Insecta, Lepidoptera, Crambidae.